This is a long non-coding RNA of Zingiber officinale, 788 nucleotides long. RefSeq lists it as uncharacterized. The transcript is spliced from 2 exons. The record is from RefSeq and is a predicted model, not a curated record. NCBI's taxonomy places the organism in Eukaryota, Viridiplantae, Streptophyta, Magnoliopsida, Zingiberales, Zingiberaceae.
AUUACCCUGGGUAGGCUAAGUAACCUACGUAUAAAAGUAUGUCAGCUUCGCCUGCCCACUGUUGCCCUAAAACGCCGACUCCACGCCUCUUCUUCUCGCGAUCACCGGCUCUCCCUGGUGGCAGUCACUCCACCGAAUCGGCAGAGCUCCUCACCGAAGACUCGAGCUCAGAUCAAGCCUCGCAUCCCGCAGCUAGAUCCGUGGAGGACAUUUGGAUUCGGGUGGUAGCAAGGACAGAGCGGGGAUGUCUGGCAGAGGCGCAAGGACACGAAAGGCAAGUCCAAUCUCUAUGCAAGUUGCGAUAUCUGUGAGGUAUUGGUUAAGGAACUGGGAGUUGAUGGAGUCCUUAUCGACAAGUUCCAUGUGACUGUGAGGAUGACUUCCAGGAUAUGCCGGAAGACCCUAGGACGGAGUAGACGAGGAGGCGGGAUGGACGCAUGGUUCUGUCCGUUGUCCGGGAGUACAGAGCCUAUUGGGUUUACUGCGAGAGAUUUUUCCUUUCUUUGUCAUUUGGGUGGGAAAUGUUUGAGGAGUUUUUGUUCAACUUGAUAAACCUAGUUUGAUACUGUCGUGCCCAUUGGUUAUGAUAAUUUCUUUGAUGGUACUACAUUAUGAUCAUUCAGAUAGUAGUUGAUGAGAGGGAUUGAAAAAAAAAAAUCGAGAUGUUUCAAAUAGUUACAAGGGUACAGUUGAUUGUAAUGAUCUCCUGGAGGAUGUGAACAACUUUGUUAUUAUGAAGUUGAGUGAUCAAAUAUAUUCACUGAAUAGAAAGUUUGGAGUUGUUAUCA